CGGACGGGUGAGUAAUGUCUGGGAAACUGCCUGAUGGAGGGGGAUAACUACUGGAAACGGUAGCUAAUACCGCAUAACGUCGCAAGACCAAAGAGGGGACCUUCGGGCCUCUUGCCAUCGGAUGUGCCCAGAUUGGAUUAGCUAGUAGGUGGGGUAACGGCUCACCUAGGCGACGAUCCCUAGCUUGUCUGAGAGGAUGACCAGCCACACUGGAACUGAGACACGGUCCAG
This 231-nucleotide ribosomal RNA is filed under the name uncultured Enterobacterales bacterium. Its description in RNAcentral is "partial 16S ribosomal RNA". It matches the Rfam family "Bacterial small subunit ribosomal RNA", at positions 99 to 334 of the family's 1533-position model. Lineage: Bacteria; Pseudomonadati; Pseudomonadota; Gammaproteobacteria; Enterobacterales. The record is from RNAcentral.